This 301-nucleotide ribosomal RNA is filed under the name uncultured bacterium. Its description in RNAcentral is "partial 16S ribosomal RNA". It matches the Rfam family "Bacterial small subunit ribosomal RNA", at positions 509 to 809 of the family's 1533-position model. The record is from RNAcentral.
CAGCCGCCACGGUAACACCGAGGGUGCGAGCGUUAAUCGGAUUUACUGGGCGUAAAGCGUGCGUAGGCGGCUAAUUGAGUCGGAUGUGAAAUCCCCGAGCUUAACUUGGGAAUUGCAUUCGAUACUGGUUAGCUAGAGUGUGGGAGAGGAUGGUAGAAUUCCAGGUGUAGCGGUGAAAUGCGUAGAGAUCUGGAGGAAUACCGAUGGCGAAGGCAGCCAUCUGGCCUAACACUGACGCUGAGGUACGAAAGCAUGGGGAGCAAACAGGAUUAGAUACCCCCGUAGUCCCUGUCUCUUAUAU